UAAAAAGGCAGAUUGGAAUAGGGAAAAUGUUCUAAUAUGAAGAUACCUGAAUUUUCAUCUUGGUUCCAGAACUCACAAAGUGUGUAGACCUAAGGCUCAAACACAUACCAUACCAUGAACAGCCCACUCCUCUCAAAGGGAGAAUCAGCACAUUAGAGGCCAGUGGCCCAAGAUGGGGAAGAGCAUGGUGUCGGGCCCCAGAGAGUGACCGGGUCACGGAGGAAGAGAACACUGUAGAAGGACCUGGAUCCUCCCCUUGGGAGCCAGUCUCCUCCGUUUCCAGAAAUAACUUGUGCGCCUCCGGUAAAGCCACUGUGCACAGGUGCCCCCAUCAUAGUCAGAAAAGUGGAGGAAGGAUCUGGCCACACAACCAUCUUGCCUCUAGAAGACCAAGGUAGUUCACUUCCACCACUGGAUCUUCCAUAUGGCCUUGCCAUGCCUCCUUGCCACAUACCCCAAGAAGUUCCUUCCUUCUUCAGGCC
RNAcentral lists this long non-coding RNA (482 nucleotides) under Equus caballus (horse). RNAcentral describes it as "lncRNA (ENSECAG00000056063.1)". Lineage: Eukaryota; Metazoa; Chordata; Mammalia; Perissodactyla; Equidae. The record is from RNAcentral.